Molecule: ribosomal RNA, 477 nt
Filed under: uncultured bacterium
Lineage: Bacteria
Description: partial 16S ribosomal RNA
Rfam family: Bacterial small subunit ribosomal RNA
Source: RNAcentral
GAUGAACGCUGACAGAAUGCUUAACACAUGCAAGUCUACUUGAUUCUACUUCGGUAGUUGAUGGUGGCGGACGGGUGAGUAACGCGUAAAGAAUCUGCCCUUUAGUUCGGGAUAACCUUUGGAAACGAAGGAUAAUACCGGAUAUUAUGGAGACGUCGCAUGACGAUUUCAUGAAAGCUAUAUGCGCUAGAGGAGGACUUUGCGUCCCAUUAGUUAGUUGGUGAGGUAAUGACUCACCAAGACCGCGAUGGGUAGCCGGCAUGAACGGGGGCUCGGCCACAAGGGAACCGGGCCACGGUCCUAACUCCUAGGGGAGGCAGCAGUGUGGAAUAUUGGACGAUGGGCCACAAGCCUGAUCCAGCAAUUCUGUGUGCACGAUGAAGGUCUUCGGAUUGUAAAGUGCUUUCAGUAGGGAAGAAAAAAUGACGGUACCUACAGAAGAAGCGACGGCUAAAUAUGUGCCAGCCGCCGCCGUAA